This 497-nucleotide ribosomal RNA is filed under the name uncultured bacterium. RNAcentral's name for it is "partial 16S ribosomal RNA". It matches the Rfam family "Bacterial small subunit ribosomal RNA", at positions 28 to 507 of the family's 1533-position model. The record is from RNAcentral.
GAUGAACGCUGGCGGCGUGCCUAAUACAUGCAAGUCGAGCGAACAGAUGAGGAGCUUGCUCCUCUGACGUUAGCGGCGGACGGGUGAGUAAAACGUGGAUAAACUACCUAUAAGACUGGGAUAACUUCGGGAAAACGGAGCUAAUACCGGAUAAUAUAUUGAACCGCAUGGUUUAAUAGUGAAAGACGGUUUUGCUGUCACUUAUAGAUGGAUCCGCGCCGCAUUAGCUAGUUGGUAAGGUAACGGCUUACCAAGGCAACGAUGCGUAGCCGACCUGAGAGGGUGAUCGGCCACACUGGAACUGAGACACGGUCCAGACUCCUACGGGAGGCAGCAGUAGGGAAUCUUCCGCAAUGGGCGAAAGCCUGACGGAGCAACGCCGCGUGAGUGAUGAAGGUCUUCGGAUCGUAAAACUCUGUUAUUAGGGAAGAACAAAUGUGUAAGUAACUAUGCACGUCUUGACGGUACCUAAUCAGAAAGCCACGGCUAACUACGUG